Molecule: ribosomal RNA, 510 nt
Filed under: Scheffersomyces stipitis
Lineage: Eukaryota; Fungi; Ascomycota; Pichiomycetes; Serinales; Debaryomycetaceae
Description: eukaryotic LSU rRNA
Rfam family: Eukaryotic large subunit ribosomal RNA
Source: RNAcentral
CUGGCACCUUCGGUGUCCGAGUUGUAAUUUGAAGAAGGUAACUUUGGAGUCAGCUCUUGUCUAUGUUCCUUGGAACAGGACGUCACAGAGGGUGAGAAUCCCGUGCGAUGAGAUGUCUGAUUCUAUGUAAAGUGCUUUCGAAGAGUCGAGUUGUUUGGGAAUGCAGCUCUAAGUGGGUGGUAAAUUCCAUCUAAAGCUAAAUAUUGGCGAGAGACCGAUAGCGAACAAGUACAGUGAUGGAAAGAUGAAAAGAACUUUGAAAAGAGAGUGAAAAAGUACGUGAAAUUGUUGAAAGGGAAGGGUUUGAGAUCAGACUUGGUAUUUUGUAUGUCUUGCUUUCGGGUGGGGCCUCUACAGUUUACUGGGCCAGCAUCGGUUUGGACGGUAGGAUAAUGACAUUGGAAUGUGGCACCACUUCGGUGGUGUGUUAUAGACUUUGUUGAUACUGCCUGUCUAGACCGAGGACUGCGUCUUUGACUAGGAUGCUGGCAUAAUGAUCUUAAACCGCCC